GCAUUAUACGGCGAAACUGCGAAUGGCUCAUUAUAUAAGUUAUCGUUUAUUUGAUAGUACCUUACUACUUGGAUAACCGUGGUAAUUCUAGAGCUAAUACAUGCUGAAAAUCCCGACUUCGGAAGGGAUGUAUUUAUUAGAUUAAAAACCAAUGCCCUCCUGGGCUCUCUGGUGAUUCAUGAUAACUUCUCGAAUCGCACGGCCUCGCGCCGGCGAUGGUUCAUUCAAAUUUCUUCCCUAUCAACUUUCGAUGUUUGGGUAGUGGCCAAACAUGGUUGCAACGGGUAACGGAGGGUUAGGGCUCGACCCCGGAGAAGGAGCCUGAGAAACGGCUACUACAUCCAAGGAAGGCAGCAGGCGCGCAAAUUACCCAAUCCCGACACGGGGAGGUAGUGACAAUAAAUACUGAUACAGGGCUCUUUCGGGUCUUGUAAUUGGAAUGAGUACAAUUUAAAUCCCUUAACGAGGAACAAUUGGAGGGCAAGUCUGGUGCCAGCAGCCGCGGUAAUUCCAGCUCCAAUAGCGUAUAUUAAAGUUGUUGUGGUUAAAAAGCUCGUAGUUGAACCUUGGGCCUGGCUGGCCGGUCCGCCUCACCGCGUGUACUGGUCCGGCCGGGCCUUUCCCUCUGUGGAACCCCAUGCCCUUCACUGGGCGUGGCGGGGAAACAGGACGUUUACUUUGAAAAAAUUAGAGUGCUCCAGGCAGGCCUAUGCUCGAAUACAUUAGCAUGGAAUAAUGAAAUAGGACGCGCGGUUCUAUUUUGUUGGUUUCUAGGACCGCCGUAAUGAUUAAUAGGGACAGUCGGGGGCAUCAGUAUUCAAUUGUCAGAGGUGAAAUUCUUGGAUUUAUUGAAGACUAACUACUGCGAAAGCAUUUGCCAAGGAUGUUUUCAUUAAUCAGGAACGAAAGUUAGGGGAUCGAAGACGAUCAGAUACCGUCGUAGUCUUAACCAUAAACUAUGCCGACUAGGGAUCGGACGAUGUUAUUUUUUGACUCGUUCGGCACCUUACGAGAAAUCAAAGUGCUG
This 1027-nucleotide ribosomal RNA is filed under the name Perennicordyceps elaphomyceticola. Its description in RNAcentral is "SSU rRNA". It matches the Rfam family "Eukaryotic small subunit ribosomal RNA", at positions 71 to 1108 of the family's 1831-position model. Lineage: Eukaryota; Fungi; Ascomycota; Sordariomycetes; Hypocreales; Polycephalomycetaceae. The record is from RNAcentral.